This 481-nucleotide ribosomal RNA is filed under the name uncultured bacterium. RNAcentral describes it as "partial 16S ribosomal RNA". It matches the Rfam family "Bacterial small subunit ribosomal RNA", at positions 28 to 506 of the family's 1533-position model. The record is from RNAcentral.
GAUGAACGCUAGCGGCAGGCCUAAUACAUGCAAGUCGAACGAGAUUACGAGGCUUGCUUCUUAUGAAAGUGGCGCACGGGUGCGUAACGCGUAUGCAACCUACCUUAAUCAGGGGGAUAGCCCGAAGAAAUUCGGAUUAAGACCGCAUAAAAACACAGGAUAGCAUUAUCCAAUGUUCAAAUAUUUAUAGGAUUAAGAUGGGCAUGCGUGUCAUUAGCUAGUUGGCGGGGUAACGGCCCACCAAGGCGACGAUGACUAGGGGAUCUGAGAGGAUGACCCCCCACACUGGUACUGAGACACGGACCAGACUCCUACGGGAGGCAGCAGUAAGGAAUAUUGGUCAAUGGAGGGAACUCUGACCCAGCCAUGCCGCGUGCAGGAAGACAGCCCUCUGGGUCGUAAACUGCUUUUAUUCGGGAAUAAACCUUUCUACGUGUAGGAAGCUGAAUGUACCGAAGGAAUAAGGAUCGGCUACCUCCGU